CUUGGUCAUUUAGAGGAAGUAAAAGUCGUAAACAGGUUUCCGUAGGUGAAACCUGACGGAAAGGAUCAUUAUUGAAAUAAAAACCUGAUGAGUUGUUGCUGGUUACUCUUCUCCGGGAAUAUUGUGACAACACUUGGUCAAUCUUUAUAAUCACCAACCUGUGACACUUUUUUUUGUAGGAGAGGAUUAAACUUCCAGUCUAUGUUUACUUCAUAUACCCUAAUGUAAUGUUAUAGAAUGGUAAAUGUAAUGGGCCUUUGUUGCCUAUAAAAACUUUAUAACAACUUUCAGCAAACGGAUAUUCUUGGCUACUAGCAUCGAUGAAGAACGCAGCGAAAUGCGAUAAGUAAUGGUGAAUUGCAGAAUUCAGGUGAAUCAUCGAAUUCUUUGAACGCACCUUGCGCUCCUUGGUAUUCCGAGGAGCUGCCUGUUUGAGUGUUCAUUAAUAUAUCAACCUCACUUGUUGAGUGCUUGGAUGUGGGGGUUUUGCUGGACUCUUUUGAGGUCAGCUCCCUUGAAAUGCUUGCAGACAAAUCCGUUCUUUUGGUGUGAUAACUAUCUACGCUAAUUGACCAAGUUCAGCUUCUAACAGUCUUUAUUGACAAUUUUUUUAUUAUUAAUGUGACCUCAAAUCAGGUAGGACUACCCGCUGAACUUAAGCAUAUCAAUAAGCGGAGGA
This 679-nucleotide ribosomal RNA is filed under the name uncultured fungus. RNAcentral's name for it is "eukaryotic LSU rRNA". The stretch from base 283 to 441 matches the Rfam family "5.8S ribosomal RNA". Lineage: Eukaryota; Fungi. The record is from RNAcentral.